This is a long non-coding RNA of Stegostoma tigrinum, 3605 nucleotides long. RefSeq lists it as uncharacterized. The transcript is spliced from 4 exons. The record is from RefSeq and is a predicted model, not a curated record. NCBI's taxonomy places the organism in Eukaryota, Metazoa, Chordata, Chondrichthyes, Orectolobiformes, Stegostomatidae.
GCUGCAGGGUUCCCAAGCAAAAUAAGUGGUACUGUUCCUGCAACCUUUGAGUGGCAUUGUUGUGGCACUGCAGGAGGCCCAGGAUGGGCAGAUGGAAUUAUGGUGUUGAAGGUGGAGAUGUGGUCAAUAAGUAGGAGCUUGACGUAGAUGCCCUUGUUAUCUGGACGUUCCAGAGAUGUGUGUAAAGCCAAGGAGAGGGCAUCUGCCAUGGAUCUGCUGCAUCAGUAGGUGAAUUGCAGUGGAUCAAGGUAAUGUGGGAGGCUGGAGUUGAUGUGACCCAUGACCAACCUCUCAAAGCACUUCAUAGUGAUAAAUAUGGAUGUCAGAGCCACUGGGCAGUCGUCAUUGAGGCUUUUGAAAAAAAUUGCUGACAUUCAGUGCGGGGAUCUUAAAGCAUUCGCACGAACAUCAGAAAAUUGGAGAAGCCUCGAGCAUAUGAGCACAGGUAGCUGAGGGUAGGGAGGGCGUGAAUUACAGAAAUCAAAGAGGGCAAGAUACAGAGAGAGAGAGAGAGAGAGAGAGAGACAGAGAUCAUAGUGAACAAAUGAUUGGCCUGGUAGGCAGUGGAAAAUACAUGAUUUUACAUGGAACAUGCAGAUAUCUUCGAAAAACAGGACAUUGAGUUUUGGAAAUUAGCGUUAUAGUUGAUUUGGAGUGAACCAAGUUACUGUUCAGUUUGGUUGUGGCUUUUGAUGAAGGGAUGGUCCAUCUGAGAUGGAAAUUGGAGGAAGAUUUCAGGAUUUUUUCAUGUUCUUGUCUUUCUGUUAUGCCCCGAGGUAAAAAGCAUUGGAAAUGCUGUUAAUUUUUUGCACGGCGAGCUGCAGAAUAUUGACCAGUCUCACACCAUUGCCAUCACCUUGCCCUUGCAGAUGCGGAUAAAGUUCUCCAAGCUGACAGAAAUUGAAAGCACUCGCAUCCUGUGACGAUGGGGUAGGAGUGGAAGAAUCAGAGUGUUUCUUUGAAAAUUGGCUUGAUGUGUCUGUCCAAGGGUCAUCUGGAGGAAAAAAUACAAGUGCACUCAGACAUGAACUAAUGGAUAAGGAGGAGACAAUCAUAACUGCUUUGGAUUCAGCCCAUAGAAGGGCCAGAGGAGUCGCGCUGACACCUUCAUGUUUAAACAGAGGACACUUUUCUGCGUGCCACUAGAUGUAUAUCAGCCAUACCAAAAUGCUGCCUUUGCCUGAGACAGGGAAGAUGAAAUGACUUUGGGGAAAUGGAGAAUCAUUCAUGAAUCCAGUUACUUUCUGAUCUGACAGCUUUGUGGCAUCUGAAUGGAUAACAAUUUGAUCUGGUAAUCUCAAUUGAUAGAGUGCAAAUGUGUAGUGAUGCAUUUUGGGAGCUCUGGUAAGUGAAAGAUGUUCACAAUGACUAGUAGAUCCCUAGAGAGCACUGAGAAACAAAGGGACCUUGGUGUCCAAAAGCAAGAGUUCAUGCCCUCUGCUUCUGGCCUUUCAGGCAAUGUUGGAUCCAACACUCCACUGAGCCUUAGAUCCCAUGAGCUCUUGUUUUGUUGACCAGUCUGCUAUCACUGACCUUAUCAAAAACAUAUAGACCACAUCAGAUGAAUUUCCCUCUUCAACACUUCUGAUAUCUCCUCAAUAAAAAUUAGAUAAAAUUUGCAAACCAUGGCAUUACCUCAACAAAGCCAUGCUGACUAUCCCCGAACAUUCCAUGUUUCUCCAAGUGCAGCGACAUUUUGUCCCUUAAAAUUCUUUCUGAUAACUUCCCUACCACCAAGGUUAGACUGGCUUGUAACUUCUGGAUCUGUCCUUUCUUCUUUUAUAUAAAAGUAUGAGCGGUCCUCUGGCACCUUAGCUGUGGCCAGAAAUGACUUGAAAAAUCUUUGCCAGGACCUUUGAUAUCUCCUCCCCUGCUUCAUAAAGUCAUGCAGUAUAGAAACAGGCUCACUUGAUCAACAUCAAUGCCAACUAACAAACAUCAAACUACUGAUCCCAUUUACCUGCACUGAGUCAUUACCUACCAUACCCUGGCCCUUUAAAUGCUCAUCUGUUGCUUCUUUAAUAUUGCAAGCGUAUCUGCCUUCUCCACCUUGUCAGGCAGCAUAUUACAUGUUUGUAUCGCUUUUGGUGAAAACACUUGCCUCAGAUCCCCUCUAAAUAGCUGACAGUUCACCUGAAAUCUAUGCCCCCUGACUUAAACUCGUCUACUGGUUCUCACAAUCAAUCUAUGCCUCCUCAUAAUUUUGAAUACGUCGAUCAGAUUUCCCCUCAGCCUCCUCUGCUGCAUGGAAAACGCACUUAGCCUACCAGUUUCUCCUCAUAAAACUUGCAUUCAAUCACAAAACAACACCCUGAAACAUAUACUAUCAACCAACCUGGCCAACAUCUCUGUCUCCGGCUUGCUACAGUGUUCCAGUGAAGCCCAGCACAAGCAGACAGAACAACACCUCAUUUUCUACUUGGGGACCUGACAGCCCUCCAGACUUAAUAUUGAGUUCUGCAAUUUUAGGGCCUAAACUCUCCCAUAUCCCAGCGCCCCCACCCCACACACCAGGCUUUGUUACCACGCAGCCUGCCACUACACACUCCCUGUUGUUAGUGACUAACAGUCCCCAUUGACAACUUCCCAGCCUGAUCGUUAGCAACUCCUUUAUCUGUCCACCUGUCUUUCUCUCUCUUUGGGCUCUAUCCUAUUGUUUACUCCCUCCCCACCCUCCUCCCUAUUUUCGGCAUAGAAACUGAUGUUUUCCCAGCCACCAUCAGUUCUGAGGAAGGGUCACCGGACUGGAAAUGUAAACUGUUUUUUCCUCCAACAUAUGUUGCCACACCUGCUGAGCUUUUCCAGCAACUUUGUUUUUGUUCGUUGUUUACAGCAUCCGCAGUUCUUGUGGUUUUUAUCACUAAACCUGUCAGACUCAUCAAUGCUCUCUAAUGCUCCAACUUGUUGCUCAAAUUGCUCCAAUAAGAGGCACCUGCUGUACACAUGGUCAUGCAGACCAGCAGGAGCACUCAGCAUUUGACAUGUAGCGUCGGAUGUACCAAUCAUGGGUCAGAUCUUAAUUCCAGGCAUACCUUAGCUCAACAGAACACGGAUCUUUGCUUUUAAUUUACUCAUUCUCCUGCUUAAUUGUAGGGGACAAAAACCAGUGUUCACUCUCAGGUCUCUGCUGGUAUGCCUGCUUUUCAGGGAGAGCCUUAUCUCACCCACUCCUCUCAAUAACAUUCUCUGACUGUCACUGGGCCAACCCUCUGCUCUCAGUAACACUGUCUGCCCGUCACAGGGCCCUCACCCCCUCCUCUCAGUAAUACUGCCCGUCACAGGGCCCUCGCCCCCUCCUCUCAGUAAUACUGCCCGUCACAGGGCCCUCGCCCCCUCCUCUCAGUAACACUGCCCGUCACAGGGACAUCACCCACUCCUCUCAGUAAUACUGCUUGCCACAGGGCCCUCACCUGCUCCUCUCAGUUAUGCACUGACUGACUGUCACAGGGCCCUCACCCCCUCCCCUCAGUAACACACUCCGUCACAGUGCCCUCAGACUGUCACAGAGCGCUCACCGCUCCGCUCAGUCACACUGCCAGUUACAGGGCCCUCACGCGCUCCUCUCAGUAACACUGCCUGUCACAGAACCCUCACGCGAUCCUCUC